UUUGAGCUUUGGGAUUUGAUGCUGGU
RNAcentral lists this non-coding RNA (26 nucleotides) under Rattus norvegicus (Norway rat). The record is from RNAcentral. Lineage: Eukaryota; Metazoa; Chordata; Mammalia; Rodentia; Muridae.